UUGCAGCCAUUUAAGCUGACCUUGGUUCUUUUCCCCCAUGAGGGCUGGUGUGCAGUGACUGCAAACAGCAAUUUUCUUAGUGUAUGCAGCCUGCUGGCAGCCUUAGGUGCCUUAAGGGACCUUGGAGAUAACC
This is a small nucleolar RNA of Talpa occidentalis (Iberian mole), 133 nucleotides long. RefSeq annotates it as small nucleolar RNA SNORA70. The record is from RefSeq and is a predicted model, not a curated record. The transcript has a single exon. Lineage: Eukaryota; Metazoa; Chordata; Mammalia; Eulipotyphla; Talpidae.